Molecule: long non-coding RNA, 588 nt
Filed under: Junco hyemalis (dark-eyed junco)
Lineage: Eukaryota; Metazoa; Chordata; Aves; Passeriformes; Passerellidae
Description: lncRNA (ENSJHYG00000008626.1)
Source: RNAcentral
GACACAAAAGAGAGAAAUGAGAAAUUUGGAGAUUUUGGGGCAAAAUUCUGAAAUUUGGAACAAAAUUAUGAAAUUUUCAGGGUGAUAUUUGAAGGUUUGGGGGCAAAAAAAUUGAGAUUUUUUAGCCUGAAUUUUGGAUUUUCAGCCCAAAAUUCAAAUUUUGAGCCAAAAUUUGGGGAUUUUCAGCCAAAAUUCAGAAUUUUUUCUUCAAACUUUCAAGUUUUGACCCAAAAUUUGGAUUUUUUUCCCCAGAAUUUGCUUCGCUCUCUGGUCCCCGAGGUCCUGGCGGCGCUGGAGGAGCUGCUGAGCCUGGAUGAGGAGCGCGGGGCCGACGCUUUGGAGGUUCUGGAUGAGUUCCUGGAAGCCAAUCCUGAAUCCCUGAUCCCACAUCUGAAGCCCAUGCUGGAGCUCUGCCUGCAGGUAAAGGCAAAAAUUUCAUUUUUUCAGCCCAAAAUUUGGGAAUUCUGAGCCAAAAAAAUUGGGAUUUUUAACCCCAAAAAAUUUGGGACACCAGGUCUACCCCUAUUGAAGUCAAUGGGGAUUUAUAGACACCAGGUCUACCCCCAUUGAAACCAAUGGGGAAUUUCA